Non-coding RNA from Doryrhamphus excisus (bluestripe pipefish), 4044 nucleotides. The record is from RefSeq and is a predicted model, not a curated record. NCBI's taxonomy places the organism in Eukaryota, Metazoa, Chordata, Actinopteri, Syngnathiformes, Syngnathidae.
CGGAACAUGGCGCCGACGAUCCCAAUUACGCUGUGUCAAUCGGUUGGCAGCCAAGCUGAAGUAUUCUAGAGGGAAUGCCGUCUACUGUUUGUAAAACUAAGAGCGUGAUUGUCGAAACUCUUUAUUGAAAAUGCUUUAGAAUAUAUUACAUGUAUAUUGCUUAAUUUUUUUGAAGUUUUCAACGCUGUUACAGGCAUGUGUUUGGCCAGCUAUGUGGGGCGGGUUGAGCGUGAACAAGGAAGUGCGGGGAUCUCGUGCACGCGCGCGCUGUUCUGUCGUUGCUGGCUCGUCGAAAAAAAAGUUGACCGGAAGCAGCAGGCAACCAUCUGUCUUUCUCUGACGAAGUCAGGCCGCCCCUUACCACGGUUUGGGGCUGAAAAUAGUGACAGUUAACACCGCCACGACCGUGGAGAAGUGCCGAAGUAAACGGUUUGUCUUGCAUCAGCAUCGUUUUCAUUGGCGCCAAUUUAAUUCGGUAUCGAGUCGGCGUUCCAACACCCUGACGGAGAACACUGGUGUUGCCAUGUAACUCAGACGACGCACAAGCAAUGCUACAAGGUCAGGAUCAAAGUUUUAAGUCACGUUGAGGCACGAAUAGUGGCGUUUCGCUCCGACAAUAGGACAAUAUACAGUAUAUAAACGAUGUCGAAGUUGAGGAGCUGAAGCCGAGGUCGCCAUUUUGUGGACAUAAUUGGCGUGCAGAAUGCUCGAAAUGACGGAAGCAAUUGUUUCAACCGGUUCAUUUGCAAUCCAUAACAUAAUGUGAACGACUUUGGCCCAAAUUGACAACGAUUUUUUAAAAGUAUGUUUCGCUACCCUCGUCAUAGUCAAUGACAACUGAAGCUGAAAGUGGUUUAAUUGGAAUUAUUUCGUUUGACGUGAAAAUCCCUUGAUGUCCUGGUUACGUCGCGUGCAUGGCGUGUUAAGUUUGUGUCGGAACUUGUUGCCAUCAGAGGCGAGGCAUCUGUUAGAUGAAAAGCCGCUUGUUGCUUAACAGCCCGUGGGAUCCCUCUGCAUCCAUCUCAACAUGAGCUCCAAAUGGGACCGUCAUCUGAUGCCAUAGGUUCUCCAGUGGACAGUUUCACCUAUUGCACGCACAAGACGGCAUUUUCUGGAGCUUCAACCUUUUGCGUCCAUCAGCAGUCUGUCGGCCCCCGGGGAAGGACUCAUGUAAUUGUGUUGGCAGACCAUCAACAACAUGGCGUCGGCGUUCUUCACAGGUAGGAAGACUUGUUCAAGUAAAUGACAUGAUGGCCUUCAUACAUGUAGCACAAUAACACAGGAUAAAUGAAUAGAUGACAAAAGAUAUGCAAUUCAUACACGAGUGCCAUGACUAAUGCUUUGGCUGUAAAGGUUGCUCUGGCUGUUACAGUACAAUGUUAGCCGGCCACAUGGAGGUCAUUAUACAGCGGGGAAAAUAAGUAUUGAACACGUCAACAUUUCUCUCAAAAAACAUAUUUCUAAUCAAGCUAUUGACAUGAAAUUUUCACCAGAUGUCGGCAUCAACCCAAGUAAUGCACACAUACAAAGAAUCCAAACAUUUAUGUUCAUAAAUUAAGUUAUGUGUAAUAAAGUGAAAUGGCACAGGGAAUAAGUAUUGAACACAUGAAGAAAAGGAGGGGUAAAAAGGUCUGGAAAGCCAAGAAAGCAGCUGGAGUUUGUCAGUAUUUAGAAGGUUAACCUGUCCCCUAUUAGUGCAAAGUAAUAUCAGCUGGUUUAGUCCUGAUUAAUGCCUUUUAAAAAGGUUUCUCACCAGCAAGGUGUUAGACAAGAAGCAUUGCAUGAUGGGUAAAAGCAAAGAGCUGUCCAAAGACCUACGCAGCCUUAUUGUUGCAAAACACACUGAAGGCAUUGGUUACAGGCGCAUUUCUAAACUUCUGAAAGUUCCAGUGAGUACCAUUGGGGCCAUCAUCCGGAAGUGGAAAGAACACGGCAUUACCAUAAACCAGCCACGGCCAGGUGCUCCUCGCAAGAUUUCAGACAGAGGAGUCAAAACAAUCAUCAGAAGGGUUCUCCAACAGCCCAGGACCACUCGUGGAGAGCUUCAGAAAGACCUGGAAUCAGCAGGUACCGUUGUUUCAAAGAAAACAAUAAGUAAUGCACUCAACCGCCAUGGCCUCCAUGCACGCACACCACGCAAGACUCCAUUUUUGAAGAGGAAGCAUGUUGAAGCUCGUUUGGAGUUUGCGACACAACAUUUGGAUAAACCCAUGACAUUCUGGGAGAACAUACUCUGGUCAGAUGAGACCAAAAUUGAACUCUUCGGAUGUCAUAAGACACAACAUGUUUGGAGGAAAAAUGGCACUGCACAUCACCCCCAAAACACCAUACCAACAGUCAAGUUUGGAGGUGGGAGCAUCAUGGCGUGGGGCUGUUUUUCCAGCAUGUGGUACUGGUAGACUUCAUAUCAUUGAAGGAAUAAUGACUGGAGAAAAGUAUCGAGACAUUCUUGAUCAGAAUCUGCUGUCAUCUGCCAGGCUGCUGAAGAUGAAAAGAGGGUGGAUCUUUCAGCAAGACAACGAUCCCAAGCACACAGCCAAGGUAACACUCAACUGGUUGAAGAAAAAGAAAAUAAAGCUGCUAGAAUGGCCCAGUCAAUCACCAGACUUGAAUCCAAUUGAAAAUCUUUGGAAAGAACUGAAGAUCCGGGUUCACAGAAGAGACCCCCGGAACCUUGAAGAUUUGAAGGCAGUUUGUGUGGAUGAAUGGGCCAAAAUCACACCUGAGCAAUGUAUUCGACUGGUUUCUCCAUACAGGAGGCGUCUUGAGGCUGUAAUCAACCAACAAAGGUUUUUGCACUAAGUAUUAAAUAAAUUUGUACUCUUUGUAAAAGCUUAAGGCUAAACCAACUGUAACACUUGUCUAUACGAGUGGAGCAUCUGUUGACAACAAUGGAAGUAUUAUUUUGCAAUAAUCUAGUCAUGUUAGUACUUACAAAUAAUGUCACACUUUGUAUAAGGAAUGUUUUCCAGUAUUUCCGGGUUACAAUCACUCCACUUGUUGUGUACUUUUUUGGACCUUUAAAUCCAUUUGUUUCUAUCUUUAUUUUCUCUAAAAUAGUAUUUAUAGUAUUUUAAAUGCAUGCAAGUGACAACUAUAUGGCGGAAUUUCCCAAGAAGAUUAGCAGUGCUUAAAAAAACACCGCUAGAUGGCGGAAAUUCCCAAGUAUAGUUGCAGUAAUUUUAAGUGCCCACCAGAUGGCGGAAUUUCACAGUUUAAGUUGCAGUAAUUUUAAGUGGCCACCAGAUGGCGGAAUUUCACAGUUUAAGUUGCAGUAAAUUUAAGUGGCCACCAGAUGGCGGAAUUUCACAAAUUAAGUUGCAGUAAAUUUAAGUGACCACCAGAUGGCGGAAUUUCACAGUUUAAGUUGCAGUAAUUUUAAGUGACCACCAGAUGGCGGAAUUUCACAGUUUAAGUUGCACUACUUUUAGGUGACCACUAGAUGGGGGAAUUUCACAGUUUAAGUUGCACUACUUUUAGGUGACCACUAGAUGGCGGAAUUUCCCAAGGUAAGUUGCAGUAAUUUUAAGUGACCACUAGAUGGCGGAAUUUCCCAAGGUAAGUUGCAGUAAUUUUAAGUGACCACCAGAUGGCGGAAUUUCACAGUUUAAGUUGCAGUAAUUUUAAGUGGCCACCAGAUGGCGGAAUUUCACAGUUUAAGUUGCAGUAAAUUUAAGUGGCCACCAGAUGGCGGAAUUUCACAAAUUAAGUUGCAGUAAAUUUAAGUGACUACCCGAUGGCGGAAUUUCACAGUUUAAGUUGCCGUAAUUUUAAGUGACCACCAGAUGGCGGAAUUUCACAGUUUAAGUUGCACUACUUUUAGGUGACCACUAGAUGGCGGAAUUUAACAGUUUAAGUUGCAGUAAAUUUAAGUGGCCACCAGAUGGCGGAAUUUCACAAAUUAAGUUGCAGUAAAUUUAAGUGACCACUAGAUGGCGGAAUUUCCCAAGGUAAGUUGCAGUAAUUUUAAGUGACCACUAGAUGGCGGAAUUUCCCAAGGUAAGUUGCAGUAAUUUUAAGUGACCACUAGAUAGUGGCAUAGGG